Molecule: long non-coding RNA, 1043 nt
Filed under: Capsicum annuum
Lineage: Eukaryota; Viridiplantae; Streptophyta; Magnoliopsida; Solanales; Solanaceae
Description: long non-coding RNA (CANN_LNC008806)
Source: RNAcentral
CCCCAUGACAUCUUCUCCACCUAACCUUUUUAAGCUUAACCUCCAUAAAUGGAUGUUGAACCUCCAUUAAUGGAGGUAGAAAUUUUCAGAAAAGUAAACAUACCUCCUCAUUUGCUAAGAAUGAUAGAUCUGCAUUAAAAGCUUCACGAAUUUUAGACAUGAAGAAGGAGGAGGCCAAUGUCCAAUUAAAAAAUUAUUUAACGGAAGAAAACAUAAAUGGAGGUCGAUUUUGAAGAAAAGAGAUGAAAAAGAACAACACGCAUUUGCUCAGAAGUUGGUCUAUUUUGUUGAUUGAACUUGCCGAAAUGUCGCACCACUCCAACUAUUUUAUCACCGACCAAAUCACCUGAAUCUUUUUCAAAAACUUCAACUUGAUUUUGUCUACUCAAUUCUAUCACAUCAACAACUUCAAUUUCAUCAAGAAUUGUUGAUUUUUUGGUCGCGCUUCUUGGACAAUUCAAUCGCUGCAUUAAUUGUUCUCUUUAUCAUGCACAUUUUUGAUCUUCAGUGUAUCAAUACGCUUAAAAUUGCUUACUGUAUCAGAAUUUUGUGGUAUAAAUUUAUUCUAUGAUUUUGAAUCAAUUCAAUCGAUCGAAAAUUAUCACAAGAAAUAUUUUUUUAAAUAAACUCCCAUUUCUCAUAAAAUAUUUCUUCAACAACCGCUUUAAAAUUUUGUAAUUUCUGAGAGAUCUUUAAUGUAAAGAUGUGUAAAGAAAAGGAAAAAAAAUGGUGAAAAAUUAAUAGAUUGAAAGUGUGAGAAAGAAAGAGAAGAGUUAAUUAUAUUUACCCUUUGCAAUGUGAAAAAUGGAUUGAAGUGAAUAAUAUUCUUGAAGAGUUAAUUAUCAUAUUAAUACAAUAUUUUACUCUUUAUUUUUGAAUUAGGAACUCAAUUUUAUUAUUGUUUUUAAGAGUUUGAGAUUGAAAAAAUGGUGAAAGAAAAUGGGAUGAAAAAAUGGAGAAGAAGAUGAUAAAAUUAAAUAAAAUAAAUAACGUCCACUUGAGAUGUCAAAGUAAAAAAUGAUGCCAAGUUGAGAGGCCUGUCG